UACGGAGGGUGCAAGCAUUAAUCGGAUUUACUGGGUGUAAAGGGUCCGUAGGCGGUGUGGCAAGUCGGGAGUGAAAUCUCUGGGCUUAACCCAGAGGCUGCUUCCGAAACUGCCAUGCUGGAGUGUGGGAGAGGCGAGUGGAAUUGCAGGUGUAGCGGUGAAAUGCGUAGAUAUCUGCAGGAACACCCGUGGCGAAGGCGGCUCGCUGGACCACAACUGACGCUGAGGGACGAAAGCUAGGGGAGCAACCAGG
RNAcentral lists this ribosomal RNA (253 nucleotides) under uncultured bacterium. Its description in RNAcentral is "partial 16S ribosomal RNA". It matches the Rfam family "Bacterial small subunit ribosomal RNA", at positions 524 to 776 of the family's 1533-position model. The record is from RNAcentral.